RNAcentral lists this ribosomal RNA (604 nucleotides) under Terribacillus sp. 7520-G. RNAcentral's name for it is "bacterial LSU rRNA". It matches the Rfam family "Bacterial large subunit ribosomal RNA", at positions 1252 to 1851 of the family's 2925-position model. Lineage: Bacteria; Bacillati; Bacillota; Bacilli; Caryophanales; Bacillaceae. The record is from RNAcentral.
GAAGGUGUACCGUAAGGAGCGCUGGAGCGUAUACAAGUGAGAAUGCCGGUAUGAGUAACGAAAAGAUCAGUGAGAAUCUGAUCCGCCGAAAGCCCAAGGUUUCCUGAGGAAGGCUCGUCCGCUCAGGGUAAGUCGGGACCUAAGGCGAGGCCGAAAGGCGUAGUCGAAGGACAACAGGUUGAAAUUCCUGUACCACCAUAAACCGUUAUGAACGAUGGGGGGACGCAGGAGGGUAGUGACGCGGACUGAUGGAUGUCCGUCCAAGCAGUGAGGCUGAUGUGUAGGCAAAUCCGCACAUCGUUAAGGCUGGGCUGUGAUGGGGAGUGAAAAUUACAGUAGCGAAGGUCAUGAUCUCACACUGCCAAGAAAAGCCUCUAGUCAGGUGAAGGUGCCCGUACCGCAAACCGACACAGGUAGGCGAGAAGAGAAUUCUAAGGCGCGCGGAAGAACUCUCGUUAAGGAACUCGGCAAAAUGACCCCGUAACUUCGGGAGAAGGGGUGCCUCGGUAGGGUGAAUAGCCCGAGGGGGCCGCAGUGAAAAGGCCCAAGCGACUGUUUAGCAAAAACACAGGUCUGUGCGAAGCCGUAAGGCGAAGUAUACGGG